UGAUACUAAGCCAUGCGAGUCAUUGUAGUAAUACAAGGCAGACGGCUCAGUAACGCGUAGUCAACCUACCCUAUGGACGGGAAUAACCUCGGGAAACUGAGUAUAAUGCCCGAUAGAACACUAUACCUGGAAUGGUUUGUGUUCCAAAUGAAUGUCGCCGUAGGAUGGGACUGCGGCCUAUCAGUUUGUUGGUGAGGUAAUGGCCCACCAAGACUAUUACAGGUACGGGCUCUGAGAGGAGUAGCCCGGAGAUGGGUACUGAGACACGGACCCAGGCCCUAUGGGGCGCAGCAGGCGAGAAAACUUUGCAAUGUGCGAAAGCACGACAAGGUUAAUCCGAGUGGUUUGUGCUAAACGAACCUUUUGACAGUCCUAGAAACACUGUUGAAUAAGGGGUGGGCAAGUUCUGGUGUCAGCCGCCGCGGUAAAACCAGCACCUCAAGUGGUCAGGAUGAUUAUUGGGCCUAAAGCAUCCGUAGCCGGCUCUGUAAGUUUUCGGUUAAAUCUGUACGCUCAACGUACAGGCUGCCGGGAAUACUGCAGAGCUAGGGAGUGGGAGAGGUAGACGGUACUCGGUAGGAAGGGGUAAAAUCCUUUGAUCUAUUGAUGACCACCUGUGGCGAAGGCGGUCUACCAGAACACGUCCGACGGUGAGGGAUGAAAGCUGGGGGAGCAAACCGGAUUAGAUACCCGGGUAGUCCCAGCUGUAAACUAUGCAAACUCAGUGAUGCAUUGGCUUGUGGCCAAUGCAGUGCUGCAGGGAAGCCGUUAAGUUUGCCGCCUGGGAAGUACGUACGCAAGUAUGAAACUUAAAGGAAUUGGCGGGG
RNAcentral lists this ribosomal RNA (827 nucleotides) under Nitrosopumilus sp. SW. RNAcentral describes it as "bacterial SSU rRNA". It matches the Rfam family "Archaeal small subunit ribosomal RNA", at positions 39 to 873 of the family's 1478-position model. Lineage: Archaea; Thermoproteati; Nitrososphaerota; Nitrososphaeria; Nitrosopumilales; Nitrosopumilaceae. The record is from RNAcentral.